RNAcentral lists this non-coding RNA (48 nucleotides) under Trichobilharzia regenti. The record is from RNAcentral. Lineage: Eukaryota; Metazoa; Platyhelminthes; Trematoda; Strigeidida; Schistosomatidae.
AUCCAGCCGGUGACGAGUCCCAAAUAGGACGAAAUGCGCAUCCUGGAU